GACGAACGCUGGCGGCGUGCUUAACACAUGCAAGUCGAACGGAAAGGCCCUGCUUUUGUGGGGUGCUCGAGUGGCGAACGGGAGGGUAACACGUGAGUAACCUGCCCUUGACAUUGGGAUAACUUCAGGAAACUGGGGCUAAUACCGGAUAGUAGCUCCUGCUUCAUGGUGAGGUUGGGAAAGUUUCGGCGGUUGGGGAUGGACUGGCGUCUUAUCGGCUUGUUGGUGGGUUAGUGGCUUACCAAGGCUUUGCCGGGUAGCCGGCCUGAGAGGGUGACCGGCCACAUUGGGACUGAGAUACGGCCCAGACUCCUACGGGAGGCAGCAGGGGGGAAUAUUGCACGAUGGGCGGAAGCCUGAUGCAGCAACGCCGCGUGCGGGAUGACGGCCUUCGGGUUGUAAGCCGCUUUCGCCUGUGACGAAGCGUGAGUGACGGUAAUGGGUAAAGAAGCACCGGCUAACUACGUG
Molecule: ribosomal RNA, 468 nt
Filed under: uncultured bacterium
Lineage: Bacteria
Description: partial 16S ribosomal RNA
Rfam family: Bacterial small subunit ribosomal RNA
Source: RNAcentral